GUGGGGAAUCUUCCGCAAUGGACGAAAGUCUGACGGAGUAACGCCGCGUGAGUGAUGAAGGUCUUCGGAUUGUAAAGCUCUGUUAAUCGGGACGAAAGAGCCUAGUGUGAAUAAUGCUAGGAAGUGACGGUACCGGAAUAGAAAGCCACGGCUAACUACGUGCCAGCAGCCGCGGUAAUACGUAGGUGGCAAGCGUUGUCCGGAAUUAUUGGGCGUAAAGCGCGCGCAGGCGGAUCUGCCAGUCUGUCUUAAAAGUUCGGGGCUUAACCCCGUGAUGGGAUGGAAACUACAGAUCUAGAGUAUCGGAGAGGAAAGUGGAAUUCCUAGUGUAGCGGUGAAAUGCGUAGAUAUUAGGAAGAACACCAGGGGCGAAGGCGGCUUGCUGGACAUUAACUGACGCUGAGGCGCGAAAGCGUGGGGAGCAAACAGGAUUAGAAACCCCGGUAGUCC
RNAcentral lists this ribosomal RNA (450 nucleotides) under uncultured bacterium. RNAcentral's name for it is "partial 16S ribosomal RNA". It matches the Rfam family "Bacterial small subunit ribosomal RNA", at positions 354 to 796 of the family's 1533-position model. The record is from RNAcentral.